Triticum dicoccoides is the source of this 646-nucleotide long non-coding RNA. RefSeq lists it as uncharacterized. The transcript has 3 exons. NCBI's taxonomy places the organism in Eukaryota, Viridiplantae, Streptophyta, Magnoliopsida, Poales, Poaceae. The record is from RefSeq and is a predicted model, not a curated record.
CGAGCCGUACCUAGGGACGGGCGACCAAGAGAAGGUCAGCACCUCCGAGGAAGGGUCAUGCAAAACGAAAGGAAGCCGGAAGCCCCAUUGAGCCUGCUCCAUCACCGAAAAGGAGGGGUAUACGGCGAACCGUGAACAAGAUCCCAGCCAGCCGCGAGCCACGGCCAAUAUGGCGCACCAACCAGGACUGGGGCACAUGCUUGUGCGGCACAUACUCAUUCGGCUUACAGAGAGCCGGAUGAGAUGUCCAUCACUAACUCCGAAGUUGAGAGUGCAAUGAAUCAUCGUCACUUGAAAGAAGCCUUGUGCGCCCCUGCCUUAACGGAGUCGGAAUUUACCGCCCUAAGCAUUGUAGGUGCAUAUAUCCGAGCUGCUCGGGACGGACUCACAGGAGUUAAUCGCCUGUUCUCAAAGGAUAUGCAGGUUCUCAAGGAGAAGAAUAGUGCAUUGUGCCAAGAGCUCGAGACAAGCCGGACAUAGCUAAAUGCCGCUGUCUCCGAGCUUGAAGAAAUGAAGAGUGCCCCAAUGUAUUUUGGCAAAGAUAAAAAAAUAGAAGAAGAAGUGAAGAAGCAGGCCGAAGAGAUAAAGAGCUUAAAGACUCAACUCUUGGAGGCACAACAGGAAAACCAGAAGCUAAAGGGCGGCA